This 448-nucleotide ribosomal RNA is filed under the name uncultured bacterium. Its description in RNAcentral is "bacterial SSU rRNA". It matches the Rfam family "Bacterial small subunit ribosomal RNA", at positions 330 to 794 of the family's 1533-position model. The record is from RNAcentral.
GCCAGACUCCUACGGGAGGCAGCAGUGGGGAAUAUUGCACAAUGGGGGAAACCCUGAUGCAGCAACGCCGCGUGAGUGAAGAAGUAUUUCGGUAUGUAAAGCUCUCUCAGCAGGGAAGAAGAUGACGGUACCUGAUUAAGAAGCCCCGGCUAACUACGUGCCAGCAGCCGCGGUAAUACGUAGGGGGCGAGCGUUAUCCGGAUUCACUGGGGGUAAAGGGAGGGUAGACGGCCAUGCAAGCCAGGGGUGAAAGCCCGGGGCGCAACCCCGGGACUGCCCUUGGAACUGCAGGGCUGGAGUGCGGGAGGGGCAGGCGGAAUUCCUGGUGUAGCGGUGAAAUGCGUAGAUAUCAGGAGGAACACCGGCGGCGAAGGCGGCCUGCUGGACCGCGACUGACGUUGAGGCUCGAAAGCGUGGGGAGCGAACAGGAUUAGAUACCCGGGUAUAU